This 441-nucleotide ribosomal RNA is filed under the name uncultured bacterium. RNAcentral's name for it is "partial 16S ribosomal RNA". It matches the Rfam family "Bacterial small subunit ribosomal RNA", at positions 338 to 795 of the family's 1533-position model. The record is from RNAcentral.
CCUACGGGGGGCUGCAGUGGGGAAUAUUGCACAAUGGGGGGAACCCUGAUGCAGCGACGCCGCGGGGGUGAAGGAGUAUUUCGGUAUGUAAAGCCCUAUCAGCAUGGAAGAACAAUGACGGUACCUGACUAAGAAGCACCGGCUAAAUACGUGCCAGCAGCCGCGGUAAUACGUAUGGUGCAAGCGUUAUCCGGAUUUACUGGGUGUACAGGGAGCGCAGGCGGCGCGUUAAGCCUGGUGUGAAAGUCCGCGGCCCAACCGCGGGACUGCAUUGGGAACUGGCGCGCUGGAGUGCCGGAGGGGUAGGCGGAAUUCCUAGUGUAGCGGUGAAAUGCGUAGAUAUUAGGAGGAACACCAGUGGCGAAGGCGGCCUACUGGACGGUGACUGACGCUGAGGCUCGAAAGCGUGGGGAGCAAACAGGAUUAGAUACCCGGGUAGUC